CCUACGGGCGGCAGCAGUGAGGAAUAUUGGUCAAUGGGCGCGAGCCUGAACCAGCCAAGUAGCGUGAAGGAUGACUGCCCUACGGGUUGUAAACUUCUGUUAUAAAGGAAUAAAGUGAGGCACGUGUGCCUUUUUGUAUGUACGUUAUGAAUAAGGAUCGGCUAACUCCGUGCCAGCAGCCGCGGUAAUACGGAGGAUCCGAGCGUUAUCCGGAUUUAUUUGGUUUAAAGGGAGCGUAGAUGGGUUGUUAAGUCAGUUGUGAAAGUUUGCGGCUCAACCGGAAAAUUGCAAUUGAUACUGGCAGUCUUGCGUCCAGUUGCGGUAGGCGGAUUUCGUGGUGUAGCGGUGAAAUGCUUAGAUAUCAC
Molecule: ribosomal RNA, 365 nt
Filed under: uncultured bacterium
Lineage: Bacteria
Description: partial 16S ribosomal RNA
Rfam family: Bacterial small subunit ribosomal RNA
Source: RNAcentral